CUCUCCUAACGAGCUGAUGAUCUGAAUCAGGUGCGUUAAAAAGGGAGACAAACAAAAUGUGCAGAGCAGUGGGUCCCGAGGACUGGAGUUGAGAACCACUGUUAUAAAUGGAGUAAUGUGCUGAAAGAAGCUGCUUGAGGUUUAUCUCGUGCAACAGAGGAAGUGGUGCGGGAAGAAGAGCGCGUCGGCCCUAACGUUUUGUGUGUACAACAGGAUAUCCGAUGCUGGGAGCGUUAGCCUCGUGUCGAGAGCACAUCUGCUGUCUCGCCUUAUCGCUCCACGUUUUGGAGUGCAGACGUCUCAUUUCAGCUCGUCGCAAGUAGUAAUACGGCUCAAAGAAGUCAAACGUUGCCUAUCUGGAACUCGUCCCUUAUCAUACUUGUAGAUGUUCUGUGUACUUUUAAGUGCUGGAUUUACUCAUAGGCGAAAACAUUAAUUGCCAGUUGACUGACAGCUGGAAAACACAGGGAUUUCAUGCUGGGGCAACGGUAAUUGUUUUCAGAUUUGUUUUAGAGUGUCUUUUUGAUCAAAUUUGUGAGAGAGCGAGUGAGAGAGAAGGAAAGAAGGAGAGGGAGCCAGACACUACUCAUGGGGCCCAUUAGGAAAUUGCCAGUAAGCAAAGUUGCAAAUAAGCUGUCACACAGUACAAAUGAGAUUACCUUUCCAAUGUGCCCUGGAACCUGCACACCGGGGGAUGCAGAACCAGUCACGGCAAAACAAGGCACAAUCGUCUGAUUUAUCUCAGCGCUUGAUCUUCUGGUGGUGUUCUUUCUACCUCUGUUUUUCAUGCAUCGUGUGCAAAACAGUUUACAAAGCGCUUGCAGCACAAGUUAAUCAGUUGUAGACAACCUCUGAAGCGAGUCGACAGUGUUUCAAGUCAGGGAUUUUACUUAUAGUCAUCAGCGCUGAAUUUAUACACAUACAGAGAGACUUAGUUGCAUAUUUCGGUUUAAACCGUUUAUUUACUGCUCCUGCUUUUCACCUCUUGAUCAGUUUGUUGAUGAAUUGAUUUAUUUUCAUCUGUUGAGGAGAUCUGCAAAUGUCUCUUGCACUGUGUCAAAGGGUUUGAUUUUAUUUAUUUAUUUAAAUGAACAGAUUUAAUCUGCUUUUUUUGGAAAGGUCAAAAUAAAACCUUUUUACUGUAUCUUUGUUGUUUACUUUUUUGCUAUUUUUAAAUGCCUUUUAUCUGUAUAGAUUUUAUUGUAUUUCUCUUGUCCCAGAACUAAACCUUAAAAUAUGAAAAUCCAUAUUAAAAAUGUAAAUGCUGAUGAACUAUGAUAAUCUAAAACGUAAAUGAUUGUAUAUACAUUUUUUGCACUUUGUUUACACAUUUUCUGC
Long non-coding RNA from Cyprinus carpio carpio, 1338 nucleotides. The record is from Ensembl. NCBI's taxonomy places the organism in Eukaryota, Metazoa, Chordata, Actinopteri, Cypriniformes, Cyprinidae.